UCUAUUAAAGUAUGAACGUAAAAAUUUGAUUUUUAAAAAGGUGAGGAAACACCUAAUAGAU
Molecule: transfer RNA, 61 nt
Filed under: Araneus diadematus (European garden spider)
Lineage: Eukaryota; Metazoa; Arthropoda; Arachnida; Araneae; Araneidae
Description: tRNA-Gln
Source: RNAcentral